GGGUCUUUCAGGCUCCGAGUUGUAUUUUGUGGAAGAUGUUUCGAGCGUGGUCCUAGUUUAAGUUCCUUGGAACAGGACGUCACAGAGGGUGAGAAUCCCGUACGUGAUUAGGCGCCUAUGCUCAUGUGAAGCUCUUUCGACGAGUCGAGUUGUUUGGGAAUGCAGCUCAAAAUGGGUGGUAUAUUUCAUCUAAAGCUAAAUAUUGGCCAGAGACCGAUAGCGCACAAGUAGAGUGAUCGAAAGAUGAAAAGCACUUUGGAAAGAGAGUUAAACAGUACGUGAAAUUGUUGAAAGGGAAGCGCUUGCAACCAGACUUGCGCGUUGUCGAUCAUCUGAUGUUCUCAUCAGUGCACACGACCUCGCUCAGGCCAGCAUCAGUUCUGGUGGUUGGAUAAAGGCCUUGGGAAUGUAGCUUCUCUCGGGGAGGUGUUAUAGCCCUCGGUGCAAUGCAGCCUACCGGGACUGAGGACCGCGCUUCG
RNAcentral lists this ribosomal RNA (479 nucleotides) under uncultured Helotiales. Its description in RNAcentral is "eukaryotic LSU rRNA". It matches the Rfam family "Eukaryotic large subunit ribosomal RNA", at positions 124 to 604 of the family's 3401-position model. The record is from RNAcentral. Lineage: Eukaryota; Fungi; Ascomycota; Leotiomycetes; Helotiales.